AGAUGGCGACCGGCGCACGGGUGAGUAACACGUAUCCAACCUGCCGAUAACUCCGGAAUAGCCUUUCGAAAGAAAGAUUAAUACCGGAUGGCAUACGAAUAUCGCAUGAUAUUUUUAUUAAAGAAUUUCGGUUAUCGAUGGGGAUGCGUUCCAUUAGUUUGUUGGCGGGGUAACGGCCCACCAAGACUACGAUGGAUAGGGGUUCUGAGAGGAAGGUCCCCCACAUUGGAACUGAGACACGGUCCAAACUCCUACGGGAGGCAGCAGUGAGGAAUAUUGGUCAAUGGGCGCAGGCCUGAACCAGCCAAGUAGCGUGAAGGAUGAAGGCUCUAUGGGUCGUAAACUUCUUUUAUAUGGGAAUAAAGUUUUCCACGUGUGGAAUUUUGUAUGUACCAUAUGAAUAAGGAUCGGCUAACUCCGUGCCAGCAGCCGCGGUAAUACGGAGGAUCCGAGCGUUAUCCGGAUUUAUUGGGUUUAAAGGGAGCGUAGGUGGAUUGUUAAGUCAGUUGUGAAAGUUUGCGGCUCAACCGUAAAAUUGCAGUUGAAACUGGGAGUCUUGAGUACAGUAGAGGUGGGCGGAAUUCGCGGUGUAGCGGUGAAAUGCUUAGAUAUCACGAAGAACUCCGAUUGCGAAGGCAGCUCACUAGACUGCAACUGAC
RNAcentral lists this ribosomal RNA (659 nucleotides) under uncultured Bacteroidales bacterium. Its description in RNAcentral is "bacterial SSU rRNA". It matches the Rfam family "Bacterial small subunit ribosomal RNA", at positions 86 to 744 of the family's 1533-position model. Lineage: Bacteria; Pseudomonadati; Bacteroidota; Bacteroidia; Bacteroidales. The record is from RNAcentral.